UUCCUACAAGUUGAAUGACUCCUUCCUUAUUCAUAAAAAAUCGCUAUGUUCAACAAUUUCUCCUAUUUGUUCACCUGUAUCUGCGAUUAGGGUUUUUCACCCUUCUACUCUACUCUUUUUGAGAUUCACCCACGUCUCCGAUUCACCUGGGUAUGCGAUUCACCAUGGAGUAUUCAUAGCUUCAUAGAAAGCGUAAAAAUUUCACCAUGGUAGGGAUUUGACACCUGCAAGAGCUUUGACAUUGCUUUCUCUGUUUGCUGUUCUUCGAUUUCCUCUCUUCAUACUUCCGAAAUUUAUAACUCAGUAGAAUACUCGUGAAUCAAAAAUCUGUUGCUCAUUCAAGACUACAAAGUUUCUGAAGCUACAACUCCUUCUGCUGUUGAGAUUAUACCAGGUGGACAAAAUGUGGACAAAAUCAGCAAAGCUCCACAACUAUGGGUACCAAAUGUGAGACAAUGUACAAUGGUCACCUAAUGCCCAUUAUUUGGAAUUCUCCUCGCAAGAUGGCUUAUGCUUUUUGGUGAAGUUUGAGUAAGCGAACUGGGAUCAACUUGGAGCAGAACAUGAAAAUGAUGACAUGGUCAUCAAAGGAGUUGCAGCAUAUUAGUAGGAAACAACCACCAGAUCCAGAUUGUAAACAAAGUGAAGCAGAUAAACUACAAUCAAAGUUUAGAUGGCAUAAAACUAGGGCCAACAGAAAAGACAGUGAAUCAAUUGUCAACUUUAAAGAGCACACAUGUCUCAAAUAAGCCAGCCAAGAAGCACAUUACUCCUAUUGCAAUUGAACCAUGAUUUUUCAGUGUCGGAGAAAUUUCGUUAACUUUCGCCUUUGUACAACUAUUAUGCGGCUAACAUUUCCAAAUCACCCCUCUCAUUUUUCCUGUUUCGGUUUACACAUUCUGUAAUAUAAAUUGAAUCAAAAUAUUUAUCAAUCUCACUUUUGAAGACUUCCUUGUGAA
Molecule: long non-coding RNA, 959 nt
Organism: Vicia villosa (hairy vetch)
Lineage: Eukaryota; Viridiplantae; Streptophyta; Magnoliopsida; Fabales; Fabaceae
Exons: 3
Source: RefSeq, a predicted model, not a curated record